UACGAAGGGUGCUAGCGUUGUUCGGAAUUACUGGGCGUAAAGCGCGCGUAGGCGGCUUGUCAAGUCAGGGGUGAAAUCCUGGGGCUUAACCCCAGAAUUGCCUUUGAAACUGUCAAGCUAGAGUGUCGGAGGGGAUAGCGGAAUUGCUAAUGUAGAGGUGAAAUUCGUAGAUAUUAGCAGGAACACCGGUGGCGAAGGCGGCUAUCUGGACGACAACUGACGCUGAGGCGCGAAAGCGUGGGGAUCAAACAGG
RNAcentral lists this ribosomal RNA (253 nucleotides) under uncultured bacterium. RNAcentral's name for it is "partial 16S ribosomal RNA". It matches the Rfam family "Bacterial small subunit ribosomal RNA", at positions 524 to 776 of the family's 1533-position model. The record is from RNAcentral.